Molecule: long non-coding RNA, 1433 nt
Filed under: Homo sapiens (human)
Lineage: Eukaryota; Metazoa; Chordata; Mammalia; Primates; Hominidae
Description: HSALNT0290555
Source: RNAcentral
GUCUCAAAAAAACAAAAAGCAAAACAAAAAAACCAGUGAUAGUCAUGGAUGAUAACCUGUUGAAUUCCCUAAGAAAACACAGGUCCGUAUUGCGACAAAUAAAUAAGUGAAUAAACUGGAAGUUGAUGAGAAAAGGGAUAUUGACAUAGUCUCAGAGUAUCUUCUCACAAAAUACUUAUUAAUUACAAAGAGAGAAGGAAUAACUUUGCAGUGGAGAAACUUGGCAGACACCACCUUAAGUGAUCAAAUUUAACAUCACCUUUAUUGAAACUGAUCCAAAGCGCCCCAUAACUGCCACUUAGGAUAGUCCUGCCACAAACGCAUGACCUGAAUCUAACCACGAGGAAACACCAGCCAAACCCCAAUUUGAUGAAGUAAGUGAUCUGUAAUCUUCAAAAUGUCAAGGCCGUGAAGGAAGUACUGAGUAACUGUUCCAGACCGAAGGAGACCUGACAAUUUCAUGCAACGCAGGAGACUGAACCGGGUCCUUUUGCUACCGAGGCAUUGUUGAGAUAGUUGGCAAAACUGGCGCCAGGUCUGUGGAGUGGAAGGCUCUUCAACCUGUAAAAUGGGAGGGUAGUGCCUACUUCACCAUAGCCGUGGGGAGAAGCCCGUGAAAACACCUCUCAUCUGAGCCUGGGGCUUGUUCUUUCUUUGUUGAAGAGGAAUACAGAGGUGUCAAGGACAGAUGAGAACAAGACUGAGACUUUCUACUUGUUGAAAUCUGCGAGAAAAAAUGGGAAAGGAAUGAAUGAGAGGUUAUCUCUUAAUGUAAGUCAAUGUUUAUUCAAUGCUUUGCCUUGUACAGCCUCAAAUCAUCUUGGGAUCCACGGUGGGAGGCAGCACUGAUGUGAUGUCAUCCAGUGCCUAGAGAUGAGCCUGGCUCUAUUACUGGAGACCGCUGGUGGCUGCAUGGUGCCCUGAGUUAUAACCAAGAUUGCUGAAUAUCUGGGGAGAAAAUUUCUGUCUCUGAUCAGCCUCGGGGGCAUGAGUCAACCUCUGCUAAGUGUUUUGAGCUUGCCUACUGACAAGUUGAUGGCCAAUGCAGAGAAUUAUUAUUCUUAAGAAGAUUGUAAUCACAACUAUGAUGAAUCCAGGUUGAUGAGACAUUAAUGCCUGAAAGCUUUGGAGUAUUUUUGAAAAGCAUCGCUAAAAUAAUAAUUGAAAUCGCAACAAGGGGGAAUCAAGAACAUAAAAGCUGACUGAGAUAACCUCGCAACCCCGCCUGCCUUUUCUAGACACCAGCUUGCUGGGGGGCUUCAUGAGGCUUGUGAAGAAGACAGGACAAAAGAGUCAGGCUGUUGGGAAUUUUAAGGUCCCAAGUGACAUGAUGCCUUCUGAUGUUCCGGGCCUCAGUGGCCUCAUCUGAGAAAUGGGAAUGAUAAUAGCAUAUGUGCAUGGACCAGAUGAGCUCUUCUGGUCCUGUUCCAAUU